GUCCGUUUGCCCGAGUGGUCUAAGGGGUCACGUUCAGGUCGUGAUGUAUUCGUACGCGUGGGUUCAAAUCCCACAGCGGACA
Molecule: non-coding RNA, 82 nt
Organism: Aphanomyces invadans
Lineage: Eukaryota; Oomycota; Saprolegniomycetes; Saprolegniales; Verrucalvaceae
Source: Rfam